AUUUACUUUUGAUUUUGUCUUCAUAUUUGGUUAACUCACUCUAGAAGUCUUGGAUGUAACAUAAUAAUAGAUAUAGUCAUCUUUUGGUGUGUUAAUUAAGAACAUGGAAACGAGAUUGAAGUAUAUGGACAUAAUCACAUACGUUUUAGUUUACAAUAGUGGACAUUUCCUGGUACCUCAUCCUAAUACUUGACAUAGUGAAGGUAAUGUAAUUUCCAUGCUCUUUGAAGCUGGUUAAUUACUUUUGGAUCAGCCAAACUUGUUAAAUGAUGGUAAUAUUUAAAAUGAGCACUUCCAUUCACUUCGGGAAUUGUCUUUAGAAAUCUAGAGUUGAAUAUCCUUGACAGUAAAGUUUAUGAUUAGUUAUAAUGAGAAUCACGUGCUAAUGGGGUCAUCAGUCUGGAAUUAUGUCACGUUUAGCGGCACCUCCGGCUCUUGACCAGACCUUUACAUUGAAAGCAUAAAUGAUUCGUGAGUGAUGCAGUUUCUGAGGUCUAUUUAUAUGGAAGUAGUGAACAUCUUUUCUGAAACAGUGUGACAAGACGAGGUGUCAUGGCCACUCCUUGCAUUAUGCAAUGCUUUGUUGGGUACCAACUCAUACAUUUUUUUUCAUGUGCAUGCAUUGUUGAUAUGGCAUAUAGGGUACAUGGGUUGCACUCCUACUUUAUAAAUAAUUUUUACAUUUGGACACACCCUCUUCUUAGUUUCCUACAACUUGAAGGAAUAUGAGCUACAUUUAUGACUUGCACAAGAAAUUCUAAUGAAAUUGCAGAACCUAUUAACUUGGUAUUCAUUUAUUUAUUUAUUUUCCAAUGCGAACUUUAGUUCCACAGAGCUUUGUCUGAAUGAAUUAUAAGCUUUAAGCUUUGCCAUUAUUUUUUUCACAGUUUCUUUUGGUAGUAACUAACGUUUUCUUUGUAAGAUGACACUCAAUGAUAUCGGUUUCAAGAAGCGUUAUUAGCCACUUAUACGCUUUUCGUGUCUCACUUUACUUUACUUCUUGUAGUCUCAUGGUCUCACUUUACCCAUGUGCUUUGUAAAAAAACAACCAAAUUGUCUUUACUUUUUAUGCUAGUAGCUUUGUUUUUUAAAUAUUCU
This 1098-nucleotide long non-coding RNA is filed under the name Erythranthe guttata (spotted monkey flower). RNAcentral describes it as "long non-coding RNA (EGUT_LNC003499)". Lineage: Eukaryota; Viridiplantae; Streptophyta; Magnoliopsida; Lamiales; Phrymaceae. The record is from RNAcentral.